Molecule: ribosomal RNA, 729 nt
Filed under: uncultured bacterium
Lineage: Bacteria
Description: bacterial SSU rRNA
Rfam family: Bacterial small subunit ribosomal RNA
Source: RNAcentral
CAGGCCUAACACAUGCAAGUCGAGGGGUAACAGAAGUAGCUUGCUACUAGAUGACGACCGGCGCACGGGUGAGUAACGCGUAUGCAACCUGCCUUAUACUGGGGGAUAGCCCAGAGAAAUCUGGAUUAAUACCGCAUAACAAUUAGAAACUGCAUGGUUUUUAAUUUAAAACUCCGGUGGUAUAAGAUGGGCAUGCGUAACAUUAGCUAGUUGGUAAGGUAACGGCUUACCAAGGCAACGAUGUUUAGGGGGUCUGAGAGGAUAGUCCCCCACACUGGUACUGAGACACGGACCAGACUCCUACGGGAGGCAGCAGUGAGGAAUAUUGGUCAAUGGACGCAAGUCUGAACCAGCCAUGUCGCGUGUAGGAUGACUGCCCUAUGGGUUGUAAACUACUUUUUUACAGGAAUAAACUUUCCCACGUGUGGGAAACUGAAGGUACUGUAGGAAUAAGGAUCGGCUAACUCCGUGCCAGCAGCCGCGGUAAUACGGAGGAUUCGAGCGUUAUCCGGAUUUAUUGGGUUUAAAGGGUCCGUAGGCGGGCUUGUAAGUCAGUGGUGAAAUCUCACAGCUCAACUGUGAAACUGCCAUUGAUACUGCAGGUCUUGAAUUUAGUUGAGGUGGGCGGAAUACGAUAUGUAGCGGUGAAAUGCAUAGAUAUAUCGUAGAACACCGAUUGCGAAGGCAGCUCACUAAGCUAAUAUUGACGCUGAUGGACGAAAGCGUGGG